AAGGGCACCACAAGAACGCGUGAAGCAUGUGGCUUAAUUUGACUCAACGCGGGAAAUCUUACCGGGUCCGGACACACUGAGGAUUGACAGGCAAUAUUAAUAUGUGUUUCGGCACGUAUUAUGUUAAAUAUGCUAGUCCUUUCAUGAUUAUGUGAUAGGUGGUGCAUGGCCGUUCUUAGUUCGUGGAGUGAUCUGUCAGCUUAAUUGCAUUUCACUAAAGGCUUAAAAAUUUACGUGUGUUGCGGCACUUUGACCCCUAUCUUUUAAAUAAAAAAGCGCGUGUCUUAGUUUGCAUAACUCACACAAUUAGAUCCUGAAAGCAACGAACGUGAACACAACCUCUUGUUGCCUUUAUACCAAACAUGUUUGAAUAUUCUUUUAUUGAAUAAUCAUUCGUGAAAAAAGGCUUUUAAACUAGAGGGACCGCUGUUACUUUCUUAAACCAGAGGAAGGUUGCGGCAAUAACAGGUCUGUGAUGCCCUUAGAUGUUCCGGGCUGCACACGUGCUACAAUGAUUAUUGCAGUGAGCAUCUCAUUUUUACACACCGCAUGCGCGAGUCCAUUUAUUCAUUUCCUUCGGGUAUGUUUUAAAUGUGUUUCUCUGCGCGCGGUAAAGCCUGCUUCGAAAGUAAGUGGGUAAUCAAUUAGAAGUAAUGAUUUCCUUUUUUUUCAGCACACAUAUAUACGGCGUUUAUACCCGGGUUACCUUGUUGUAGCUUUUGUGUGUAUAGAUGUUUUUUCCGUAUGUGCAAUUGUCAAUUCAUGGUGGGGACAGACCAUUGUUAAUUGUUGGUCUCGGUCUUAACUAGGAAUGCCUUGUACGGGUCUUUGGUUCAACAAACCACCCGGAAUACGUCCCUGCCCUUUGUACACACCGCCCGUCGCUCUUACCGAUGGACUUCUCUGUGAGUUUGAGGGACUGGGAACGCAGCAAUUUCGAUUCUGCACACCUAUGGAACCUUAAACGAACAGUGUGGUCUAAAGGAAAGAGAAGUCGUAACAAGGCAUCGGUAGGUGAACCUGCAGAAGGAUCA
Molecule: ribosomal RNA, 1034 nt
Filed under: Cibicides antarcticus
Lineage: Eukaryota; Foraminifera; Rotaliida; Cibicididae
Description: SSU rRNA
Rfam family: Eukaryotic small subunit ribosomal RNA
Source: RNAcentral